CUCCAUCUCUCUCUCUUCCUUUGGCCAGAGUUGGAUGCAAACACACAUGUGCUUGCUCCAGCUUUAGGCACAUGCCCGAAGCUAGUUAUAUUGUAAAUUUAAGUAUUUUGCCUGCAUGGAUUCUACUGCUGCUAUUGCUGUGAAACAAUGCAAGAUUGUAAGUAAGUCAAUUAUAUUUAUAAACUUACUUCCCAAGUUAUUGCCUGUAAGAAAGAGGUGCCAGCUUAUUUCAUAGCUGGAGUUGCUCAAAACAAGGCUUUACAGCCUAAUUUAUGGAAUCAUAGAGCCAUAGAGUUGGAAGGGACACCAAGGGUCAUCUAGCCCAACCGCCUGCAAUGCAGGAAUCUCAGCUAAAGCAUCCAGGACAGGAGGCCAUCCAACCUCUGCUUAGAAACCUCCAAAUGUCAGGAUGCUGUCAGUGACUCCUGGCUGGUUGGCCGGAAAAGUAUAAAGACCAGGAAAAGUUUCUUACAGUUCUUUUUUAUUUCAGACCUUACAGAGAGAGCCUCUUGGAUAAUGGCGUUGUCCUGAGUGAAUCUCCACCCCCCUUCUCUCCCACUCCCUCAUUGGUCAUCGUCUCCUCUGUGCCCUCUGCCUUUGAGCUCUUUGCUCUCCUACUUUUAAGGCUUACCGGGUUCUCGGAGAUGAAGGGUCUGGAAUGCUUUCUAGUGACAAUGUGUCAGCCAACUGCUGCUCCGGCUGCCUGCUCCGCCUCUCCCAUCAUUUCCCAAAUUUCCCCUCAUCUGCCUCUGAGCUGUGACCUCCCACAAACCCCUGUUGUAAAUCUAUACUAUCUUCCUCUUCCUCCUCCAUCGAAGGGUCAGGAUGGGGAGGUGGUCUCCACCACUCCUCCUCCUCUGUCCAGCCCCUGACAUCACCCCCCUUCUUCUGCCCAGUCCCUGACACCAAGGAAGGAGAGUCCACCACCUCCCAAGGGAGAUUCCACUGUCGAUCAGCUGUUAUUGUCAAGAAAGUUUUUCUGAAUGUUUAGUUGGAAUCUCCUUCCUUGAAACUGGAAGCCAUUGGUUCAAGUUUUACCCUCCAGAGCAGGAGAAAACAAGCUUGUUCCCUCUUCCAUGUGACAGCCCUUAAGAUAUUUGAAGAUGGCAAUCAUACCUCCUCUCAGUCUCCUCUUUCGCAGGCUAAACAUACCCAGUUCCUUCAAGCGCUCCUCGUAAGGCUUGGUUUCCAGACCCUUGAUCAUCUUGGUCGCCCUCCUCUGCACAUGUUCCAGCUUGUCAAGAUCCUUCUUAAAUUGUGGUGCCCAGAAUUGGACACAGUAUCCCAGGUGUGGUCUGACCAAGGCAGAAGAGUGUGGGACUAUAUCUUCCCUUGAGCUGGACACUAGACUUCCGUGGAAGUAUAUUCCUAUGCUCUUAGUUUUGCUGCUGAGAAUGGGAUUUUGAAACUGUUCAACCCACAAACGUGGGAGCCUGGAAGGCUAAAUUGCAAUUAAUAUAUCCUCUCCUACCCAUUAAAACCCAUCCCACAUCUUUUGUGUUGUAGGAUUGUUGUUGUGAGAGGGGCCAAGGAGGGCAGCAGUGAGAGUCAAGCAGCACAGCCAGCCAGCAAAUUCAGAGCUGAGAGGAGAGUGGAAACCUGAGCCCUGCAUGAUUUAUAUCGGGAAACAUUUGCUUUGGGGUUUUCUUUUUGCAACUGAAGUUGGAGUGUUAAAGUGCCAAACACGUCCACAAUUACAUACUACGAGGUCCCCUUCUCAAACAGCUGCCAGUGUCUCAGGUUAGGAAGUCCGGCAAGCUCUUGGCCAUCUAGAAACACCUGUGCUUCUUUGAUGGGGCUCUGAUAGAGAACGACCCUCCUGCCUGUAGGUUCAUCCCACUCAUAGGUUUUUAAAUUCCGCUUUAAAGGAAACUCACAGAAUACUGAAAACCCCCAUCGGGAGCCUCUCUCUCCGACACAUGCAAAAUAACUGGCAAGCCCAGCCCACCCACAACGGCACGCUAUACGGAGGGCCAGCUAAUUGGCUGUAAUGGGAUUAGGAAC
Podarcis lilfordi (Lilford's wall lizard) is the source of this 2004-nucleotide non-coding RNA. The record is from the annotation of a GenBank genome assembly. NCBI's taxonomy places the organism in Eukaryota, Metazoa, Chordata, Lepidosauria, Squamata, Lacertidae.